AUUUCCUACGGGAGGCAGCAGUGGGGAAUAUUGCACAAUGGGGGAAACCCUGAUGCAGCGACGCCGCGUGAAGGAAGAAGUAUUUCGGUAUGUACACUUCUAUCAGCAGGGAAGAAAAUGACGGUACCUGACUAAGAAGCCCCGGCUAACUACGUGCCAGCAGCCGCGGUAAUACGUAGGGGGCAAGCGUUAUCCGGAUUUACUGGGUGUAAAGGGAGCGUAGGCGGAUUGGCAAGUCAGAAGUGAAAGCCAGGGGCUCAACUCGGGGACUGCUUUUGAAACUGUUUACCUUGAUUGCAGGAGAG
Molecule: ribosomal RNA, 305 nt
Filed under: uncultured bacterium
Lineage: Bacteria
Description: bacterial SSU rRNA
Rfam family: Bacterial small subunit ribosomal RNA
Source: RNAcentral